GCGGCGUGCUUAACACAUGCAAGUCGAACGGAAAGGCUCCUGCUUGCAGGGGUACUCGAGUGGCGAACGGGUGAGUAACACGUGGGUGAUCUGCCCCGCACUUCGGGAUAAGCCUGGGAAACUGGGUCUAAUACCGGAUAGGACMACUUCUUGGAGGYYGUGGUGGAAAGUUUUUUCGGUGUGGGAUGAGCUCGCGGCCUAUCAGCUUGUUGGUGGGGUAAUGGCCUACCAAGGCGUCGACGGGUAGCCGGCCUGAGAGGGUGUACGGCCACAUUGGGACUGAGAUACGGCCCAGACUCCUACGGGAGGCAGCAGUGGGGAAUAUUGCACAAUGGGCGCAAGCCUGAUGCAGCGACGCCGCGUGGGGGAUGACGGCCUUCGGGUUGUAAACUCCUUUCGCUAGGGACGAAGCGCAAGUGAMGGUWCCUARAGAAGAAGCA
This 440-nucleotide ribosomal RNA is filed under the name Corynebacterium coyleae. RNAcentral describes it as "bacterial SSU rRNA". It matches the Rfam family "Bacterial small subunit ribosomal RNA", at positions 39 to 492 of the family's 1533-position model. Lineage: Bacteria; Bacillati; Actinomycetota; Actinomycetes; Mycobacteriales; Corynebacteriaceae. The record is from RNAcentral.